UACGUAGGGGGCAAGCGUUGUCCGGAUUCAUUGGGCGUAAAGAGCGUGUAGGCGGCCAGGUAGGUCGGUUGUGAAAACUGGAGGCUCAACCUUCAGAGGUCGACCGAAACCAUCUGGCUAGAGUCCGGGAGAGGAGAGUGGAAUUCCUGGUGUAGCGGUGAAAUGCGUAGAUAUCGAGAGGAACACCUGCGGCGAAGGCGGGUUGCUGGGCUGACACUGACGCUGAUGCGCGAAAGCUAGGGGAGCGAACGGG
This 253-nucleotide ribosomal RNA is filed under the name uncultured bacterium. RNAcentral's name for it is "partial 16S ribosomal RNA". It matches the Rfam family "Bacterial small subunit ribosomal RNA", at positions 524 to 776 of the family's 1533-position model. The record is from RNAcentral.